This 386-nucleotide unclassified non-coding RNA is filed under the name soil metagenome. RNAcentral describes it as "partial contains 5.8S ribosomal RNA, internal transcribed spacer 2, and large subunit ribosomal RNA". The stretch from base 1 to 120 matches the Rfam family "5.8S ribosomal RNA", at positions 35 to 154 of the family's 154-position model. The record is from RNAcentral.
GAUGAAGAACGCAGCGAAAUGCGAUAAAUAAUGUGAAUUGCAGAAUUCAGUGAAUCAUCGAAUCUUUGAACGCACCUUGCGCUCCUUGGUAUUCCGAGGAGCAUGCCUGUUUGAGUGUCAUUAAAUUCUCAACCUCACCAGUUUUCUGAACUGUUCUCCGAGGCUUGGAUGUGGGGGUUUGUGCAGGCUGCCUCAGCGCGGUCUGCUCCCCUGAAAUGCAUUAGCGAGUUCGAUACUGAGCUCCGUCUAUUGGUGUGAUAAUUAUCUACGUCGUGGAUCGGGGCUUAGACUCGAUUCUAACCGUCCGCAAGGACAAUACCUUGACAAUUUGACCUCAAAUCAGGUAGGACUACCCGCUGAACUUAAGCAUAUCAAUAAGCGGAGGA